Molecule: long non-coding RNA, 4571 nt
Organism: Cavia porcellus (domestic guinea pig)
Lineage: Eukaryota; Metazoa; Chordata; Mammalia; Rodentia; Caviidae
Exons: 9
Source: RefSeq, a predicted model, not a curated record
GUGCUUCUGGGAAAAAUGGACCCCACCCUUCCUCGUCGUCGUGGGCUGCAGCUCAGAUCUCCGGUUCUUUUUAUGGUCAAGCUUUUAGAUCUAGGCUCCCCCACCCACAGCUACCUGUAAUGGGAAACAAGACUCAUUAAGGCCGCGCCAGAUGUUAUAGGGAAGGCCGGUGACAAGGGCUGUAAAAGAAUUCACCAACAGGCAGGACCCAGGAAAGUCAGGAGUUUAUUUAGAUGGCUGGGUGUGCUGUGGACAGAGGCACGGCGGGCAAGUUCCAAGAGAGGAUUGCGCAGCCAGGGCGCGAGGAGAGGAGCCCCGCCUGACCGCAGCUGUCUGCAUUUUGACUGUUGUCUUCAUUUCUUCAUCCUCCACCGUCCUCCCUCCAGAAUUUCCAGGCUUCAGCCCUCAGCAGUGCGAUCUCUGGAAUGUAGGAUUAUUUAUGAAGAUUCGUGUUUUUGACACGAAGACCACCACAGGAACAGAGGCCAAACAAACUCUUGGACCCCUUGUGACUCAUUGAAAGCAGGAGUUGUGUUUUCUUCCGAAGCAAUCAAGGACUCAAAGCUUGGUUUUGCAACAAAACAAAACAACAACAAAGAAGGACGCUUCAUUUAGGCCGGUGGAUGUCCAAAAAGUAACUGAAAGCGGAACAAAGCUUGGCCUUCAUUUCGCACCUGCAGCACUUGGGUCAGACCCUUGUUCAUCUCUGAAUGCAGAUAAAACUAUGCUGUGGAUGGAGACUGAAGAAUCUUUGGAACAUAGCUAAAUGGGCUUCCCUGAGUAGUUCAGACUGAACUAGAAUGCACUGUGUACCCCAGGCUGGCCUCGAACUCAUGGUGAUCCUCAUACCUUACCUUCCGAGUGCUGCAAUUACAGUGUCCAAAGCCAUGGUAGUCACACGGAGAGUCCUCACGAGGCAGUGUUGUAUUCUAACUUUACCUACAUCGUUCUGUGCUCCAGUGAAACCACAUGAAGGAUAAAGGAUGAGCGCCAUGCCAGGACUAACAUCCAGAUGGGAGAUUUACAAGGGGAGCAACUACCAGUGGGUGCCUGGACAUCUCCAGGUAUUGCCCGAAACCUACAGUCACCUUGAUACUAGCAAAUCUUCUGCAAACUUGAGACGACCUCAAACAGAAACAGCUGUCUCAUAGAGUCUGGCUUGCCCCUGAAGGAAUAAAGGUUUCUCUGGAGCCACUCUGCAAAAACUAGAACUGAGUCUGGAAAUCAGCCUGGACCUCCCACCGAGGCGUCCUGAAAUGCAAGACAGUAGAUGUGGGACCUGUCUGGGUGGAGCUGGGGUCUUCAUCUCCUCUCCUCAAGUCCUGUCUGCCAGCCGUUCUGCUUUUGGUACAUGCGCUGCUGAGGCGAGCCUGGACCCACUUCCUGCUCUUUCCUUGAUGCCUCGUGGCCAGGUUUUCAGUGUCAUGCAAGCAGACAGUCUCCGGAGCAUCCUCAUAGAUCCAAACACUCACUGAAUGUUCAGGCAGUAAAAUUUAUUACGGUAAAAGGUGCAUUGCCAUGAGUGCCCGUCACUUUGCGCACGCUUAUCUCCUGAUUCCUGCCACUUUCUGAAGCAGCUCUGGAGUCCUGUCUGUUGUCUUGGCUGCCUGGUGUCCUGAAUCGAUUAAAGUCAUUUACCUUUCAUGGUUAUUUGGACAGUGAGGGAAGAAGAGUCAGAAGUCACAUGGUGCCAUCCAGAGCACAAGCUGGAUGAGGACACACUGUGAAGUCUUUACAAGCCUGCCUUUUCCACGAUCUGACACUCACAGCAGUAUUCGCUGUAUUUUUAAUCACACAGUGUAAGGACAAUCCUGAAAGAGGGCUUCCAGGAAUUCUUCAGGAAGUGGUGAGCACAGUGGAAUAAGUGUGUUCUAAGUGAGGGGGAGUAUUUUGAGAUGAAUAAUGACAUUAUGUAGUUCACUGUAAUUAAAAAAAUUGAACACACAUCAUAUUUUUUGAGGCUGAGGCAGGAGGGUCAUGAAUUUUAGACCAAACUGGGCUAACACAGUGAGACUGGAGCCAAACUGAGUUAUACUGGGUGAUGGACAGAGAAGGGGAGAUUUCUAAGAGAGGGAAGAGAGAGAGAGAGAGAGAGACAGAAAGAAACAAAGAAAGCAGAAAGAGAAGAAGGAGAAGAAGAAAGAAGGGAGAGAGAAAGGGAGAGGGAGAGAGGGAGAAAAACUUUGCUUUCUGUGUUGCCCGGUUUGGCCUGAAUAAUUAGGCUCAAGGAACUCUCCCACCUCAGCCUUCCCGCUGCUGGGGCCACAAGCACACACCACUGAAUCCAACUCUCAGUGCUGAGUCACAUAUUUUAUAACUCUAACAACGGAGGAUUUUUAUAGAGGAGAAAUUUUUUCUUUUACCCUCUUAGGCUCGGUAAUUAGCCCUGUAAGUUUAGCUGACACAGGACAGACAGACUAACGGGACCAAUGACAUAAGUUUUACCAGGGAUCAAACUCACAACCUUGCAUUUACCAGGUACAUGCUUGUGCUGCUAAUAAUAUUAAUUUUUUUCCCCUUGUGUGGUAGUUUUAUAAAAAUGAAAUGAAAACUUGAAGUGCUUAUUUUUGGGAGCCCUCAACCUUUUUUUGUGGUACUGAGGAUUGAACUCACGACCUCAUGCUUGCCAGGCACUUAUGCCACUGAGCUAAAUCCCCAGCCCUCCCUCAACCCUUUUUAACAAAAGGAAAUGGCUGAGAAGGAAAGGAAAUGGCUUGAGAAGGUGAUAAAGCAUGGCAGGGUGGGAAAUCUGGGAAGGGAAGGUGGGAGGCUGGGGACGGGAUGGGUUGGUUUGUGCAGACUCAUCUGGGAUAUGACAUCUCUGUUAGUGACAGUCAUUUUCUUCCUGGUCCACAUGGUUGCUACCCUCAAAGGAAAGUGUAUGCCCUGCUUUGAAGCAAAUAAGGAAAGGGCAGAAAACUGCCAUUAGUUCAAAAUAACACUUAUGCCAAAGUGGCACAUUCUGUGCCAGCAUGUCUUAUGUUUCAGGCUGGCUUUGAACUUACUGUGUAUCCCAAGCUGGUCUUGAACUAGCAGUGAUCCUCCUGCCUCAGCCUCCUGAGUGCUGGGAUGAUAGCUGUGCACUACCACAUUUGGCCAGAAAUAUUUGUUUUGAAAGAUCUUUUGGGUUCUCAUUUUAAAUCAACUUUUUUCCUUCCCUGCCCUGGAAACACAAUCUCUCUGAUUCACCUGAUUGCAGCCAUUUCAGUUAAUGAAACCGUUUCCUGCAGAAGGGAGCUUGGCCUGCACUGUGGGAUAAUUGCACCCUAUUUCUGCCUACCCUGAGCUGCAGUCCUCUCUCUCUCUCUCUCUCACAUUAAUUGCUCUGUGUUUUCCCUGAGUGAUGUGCUGACCUUAGAUUUUUCAGGCAGUUCUUUCUUGCUAGUAUCUAGCUGCAUUCUAGCAGAGGACAAUUAAUUCUUUCAGAUUUUGGAGCAUCGUAUAAGGAAACUCCACGGCAUUAGAUUUCAGGACUUGUCUAAGGUUGGUCUCAAUGAAAGAGUUCCCUUUGAUGUAAACUUUUACCCUUUGAGUCCACGAAGCUCUAAACGUCUUGGAUCCACACAGUGAGGACCUCACCUCAGAGCCAAUGGGCCACCAGGCCAAGGAGGUCCCUAAAUUCCAGGCCAGCUGCCAUAUGCAUUGCACCCAGGCCCCCACCGUGGGCCCUUUUUUUGCUCCCAAUUCAGACACCGUGCUGCUCUCUGCCUGCAGUGGACUGUGCAGCUGGCCUGUGGGGCGGGCUGAGAAAUCAAAAGCAGCCUUGGGAGCCUCCGCACACAGGCACAGGCAUCCGAGAGGCGCCAUCUGCGACAAAAUGGGGUUACUAAUAGAAAAUGGAAAAUGGAAAAAUACAAAAAUUGAAAUCAACUACAUUCUUACCAAAGUUAACCACAAUCUGUAUCUUGACAUAUAGCCUUCCAUGUGGUAUAUAACAGUUAAGUCUCAUUUUAUUUUUUAAGAAUUUUAAGUUUUUCAAUGGCAAAUAAAUACAUGAAAAAAUGUUCAGCUUUAUUGAUCAUUAGAGAAAUGCAAAUUAAAACAACACUGAGGUUCCAUUCCACUCCAGAAAGAAUGGCCAGGUUAAAGAAAACUACCGACAACAAAUGCUGGAGAAGCUGCAGAGAAAAAGGAACUCUCCUGCACUGUUGGCGGGAGUGUAGACUGGUGCAACCAUUGUGGAGAUAAGCCUGGAGGUUUCUCAAAAGGAUUGCAGGUCCCAUUUGACCCAACUGUUCCACUUCUGGGAAUAUUCCCAGAAGAACUGAAAACAUCAUACCACAGUGAUAUAUGUGCACCCAAGGUAUGGACAGCUAUUUUGAAGAGAACAAGAGACAUUAUGGUAGUCACUGUUGAUUUUCCUUUUGUUUGAUAUUGAAGACCUUUAAAGCUUUCGUUCUUUUGUUUUGAAUGGUUUUAUACUAUUUUUUGUCUUGUUUGAAUUCAUUGUGUGUGAAGAUAUGGACAACUAUUUCGAAGAAAACAAGAGACAUUAUGAUAACCAAUGUUGAUUUCCUGUUGUCUUGUUUUGAAAUCUUGAUUGCACUGCUUUGUUUUACUCUCCUUAAAAU